Molecule: ribosomal RNA, 730 nt
Filed under: uncultured bacterium
Lineage: Bacteria
Description: bacterial SSU rRNA
Rfam family: Bacterial small subunit ribosomal RNA
Source: RNAcentral
AACAGGAUUAGAUACCCUGGUAGUCCACGCCGUAAACGAUGUCUAUUUGGAGGUUGUGCCCUUGAGGCGUGGCUUCCGGAGCUAACGCGUUAAAUAGACCGCCUGGGGAGUACGGCCGCAAGGUUAAAACUCAAAUGAAUUGACGGGGGCCCGCACAAGCGGUGGAGCAUGUGGUUUAAUUCGAUGCAACGCGAAGAACCUUACCUGGUCUUGACAUCCACAGAACUUGCCAGAGAUGGCUUGGUGCCUUCGGGAACUGUGAGACAAGUGCUGCAUGGCUGUCGUCAGCUCGUGUUGUGAAAUGUUGGGUUAAGUCCCGCAACGAGCGCAACCCUUAUCCUUUGUUGCCAGCGGUCCGGCCGGGAACUCAAAGGAGACUGCCAGUGAUAAACUGGAGGAAGGUGGGGAUGACGUCAAGUCAUCAUGGCCCUUACGACCAGGGCUACACACGUGCUACAAUGGCGCAUACAAAGAGAAGCGACCUCGCGAGAGCAAGCGGACCUCAUAAAGUGCGUCGUAGUCCGGAUUGGAGUCUGCAACUCGACUCCAUGAAGUCGGAAUCGCUAGUAAUCGUGGAUCAGAAUGCCACGGUGAAUACGUUCCCGGGCCUUGUACACACCGCCCGUCACACCAUGGGAGUGGGUUGCAAAAGAAGUAGGUAGCUUAACCUUCGGGAGGGCGCUUACCACUUUGUGAUUCAUGACUGGGGUGAAGUCGUAACAAGGUAACC